AGAUUGAACGCUGGCGGCAUGCCUUACACAUGCAAGUCGAACGGCAGCAUGGGAGCUUGCUCCUGAUGGCGAGUGGCGAACGGGUGAGUAACAUAUCGGAACGUACCUUGUAAUGGGGGAUAACUCAGCGAAAGCUGGGCUAAUACCGCAUACGCCCUGAGGGGGAAAGUGGGGGAUCGCAAGACCUCAUGUUAUAAGAGCGGCCGAUAGUCUGAUUAGCUAGUUGGCGGGUAAAGGCCCACAAGGCAGUCGAUCAGUAGACUGGUCUGAGAGGACGACCAGCCACACGUGAACUGAGACACGUCCAGACGUCCUACGGGAGGCAGCAGGUGGGAAUUUUGGAACGAGUGGGGGACCAACCGUGACUCGAG
RNAcentral lists this ribosomal RNA (371 nucleotides) under uncultured soil bacterium. Its description in RNAcentral is "bacterial SSU rRNA". It matches the Rfam family "Bacterial small subunit ribosomal RNA", at positions 26 to 391 of the family's 1533-position model. The record is from RNAcentral.